Molecule: ribosomal RNA, 484 nt
Filed under: uncultured bacterium
Lineage: Bacteria
Description: partial 16S ribosomal RNA
Rfam family: Bacterial small subunit ribosomal RNA
Source: RNAcentral
AUUGAACGCUGGCGGCAGGCCUAACACAUGCAAGUCGAGCGGAUGAAGGGAGCUUGCUCCUGGAUUCAGCGGCGGACGGGUGAGUAAUGCCUAGGAAUCUGCCUGGUAGUGGGGGAUAACGUCCGGAAACGGGCGCUAAUACCGCAUACGUCCUGAGGGAGAAAGUGGGGGAUCUUCGGACCUCACGCUAUCAGAUGAGCCUAGGUCGGAUUAGCUAGUUGGUGGGGUAAAGGCCUACCAAGGCGACGAUCCGUAACUGGUCUGAGAGGAUGAUCAGUCACACUGGAACUGAGACACGGUCCAGACUCCUACGGGAGGCAGCAGUGGGGAAUGUUGGACAAUGGGCGAAAGCCUGAUCCAACCAUGCCGCGUGUGUGAAGAAGGUCUUCGGAUUGUAAAGCACUUUAAGUUGGGAGGAAGGGCAGUAAGUUAAUACCUUGCUGUUUUGACGUUACCAACAGAAUAAGCACCGGCUAACUUCGUG